This 398-nucleotide small RNA is filed under the name Erwinia tracheiphila. RNAcentral describes it as "cspA thermoregulator". It matches the Rfam family "cspA thermoregulator", at positions 1 to 383 of the family's 428-position model. Lineage: Bacteria; Pseudomonadati; Pseudomonadota; Gammaproteobacteria; Enterobacterales; Erwiniaceae. The record is from Rfam by way of RNAcentral.
GGGUAACCGAGGUACAGUUCUGUUUAAGUGAGGCAUCUUCAGUAAAGAAGUUUUGAGCAAAGACGUUAUGUUGAAUACCGCUUCCUUGCCGAGAAUUAAUUUGUGCCCCAUGCAGUAGUGUCUCUGUUUUUUCUGUACAUAAGCCUUUGGGCGAAUAAACAUUCUAAGGAAUUUGUAAAAUGGCAAAGAUUAAAGGUCAGGUUAAGUGGUUCAACGAGUCUAAAGGUUUUGGUUUUAUUACCCCUGCUGACGGUAGCAAAGAUGUAUUUGUACAUUUCUCCGCUAUCCAGGGUAAUGGUUUCAAAACUCUUGCUGAAGGUCAGAACGUUGAGUUCGAAAUUCAGGAUGGACAGAAAGGCCCCGCUGCUGUGAACGUCACCGCAAUCUAAUUCCGGUUU